RNAcentral lists this ribosomal RNA (497 nucleotides) under uncultured bacterium. RNAcentral's name for it is "partial 16S ribosomal RNA". It matches the Rfam family "Bacterial small subunit ribosomal RNA", at positions 28 to 507 of the family's 1533-position model. The record is from RNAcentral.
GACGAACGCUGGCGGCGUGCCUAAUACAUGCAAGUAGAACGCUGAAGAGAGGAGCUUACUCUUCUUGGAUGAGUUGCGAACGGGUGAGUAACGCGUAGGUAACCUGCCUUGUAGCGGGGGAUAACUAUUGGAAACGAUAGCUAAUACCGCAUAACAAUGGAUGACACAUGUCAUUUAUUUGAAAGGGGCAAUUGCUCCACUACAAGAUGGACCUGCGUUGUAUUAGCUAGUAGGUGAGGUAAUGGCUCACCUAGGCGACGAUACAUAGCCGACCUGAGAGGGUGAUCGGCCACACUGGGACGGAGACACGGCCCAGACUCCUACGGGAGGCAGCAGUAGGGAAUCGUCGGCAAUGGGGGCAACCCUGACCGAGCAACGCCGCGUGAGUGAAGAAGGGUUUCGGAUCGUAAAGCUCUGUUGUAAGUCAAGAACGGGUGUGAGAGUGGAAAGUUCACACUGUGACGGUAGCUUACCAGAAAGGGACGGCUAACUACGUG